CAUGCAAGUCGAACGAGAAUCUGUGGAUCGAGGAUUCGUCCAAGUGAAGCAGAGGACAGUGGCGGACGGGUGAGUAACGCGUGAGGAACCUGCCUUUCAGAGGGGGACAACAGUUGGAAACGACUGCUAAUACCGCAUGAUACAUUUGGGUGGCAUCAUCUGAAUGUCAAAGAUUUAUCGCUGAAAGAUGGCCUCGCGUCUGAUUAGCUAGUUGGUGGGGUAACGGCCCACCAAGGCGACGAUCAGUAGCCGGACUGAGAGGUUGACCGGCCACAUUGGGACUGAGAUACGGCCCAGACUCCUACGGGAGGCAGCAGUGGGGAAUAUUGGGCAAUGGGCGCAAGCCUGACCCAGCAACGCCGCGUGAAGGAAGAAGGCUUUCGGGUUGUAAACUUCUUUUAAGAGGGAAGAGCAGAAGACUGUACCUCUAGAAUAAGCCACGGCUAACUACGUGCCAGCAGCCGCGGUAAUACGUAGGUGGCAAGCGUUGUCCGGAUUUACUGGGUGUAAAGGGCGUGCAGCCGGGAAUGCAAGUCAGAUGUGAAAUCCAUGGGCUUAACCCAUGAACUGCAUUUGAAACUGUAUUUCUUGAGUACUGGAGAGGCAAUCGGAAUUCCUAGUGUAGCGGUGAAAUGCGUAGAUAUUAGGAGGAACACCAGUGGCGAAGGCGGAUUGCUGGACAGCAACUGACGGUGAGGCGCGAAAGUGUGGGGAGCAAACAGGAUUAGAUACCCUGGUAGUCCACACUGUAAACGAUGAAUACUAGGUGUGCGGGGACUGACCCCCUGCGUGCCGCAGUUAACACAAUAAGUAUUCCACCUGGGGAGUACGAUCGCAAGGUUGAAACUCAAAGGAAUUGACGGGGGCCCGCACAAGCGGUGGAUUAUGUGGUUUAAUUCGAAGCAACGCGAAGAACCUUACCAGGGUUUGACAUCCUGCUAAUGAAGUAGAGAUA
RNAcentral lists this ribosomal RNA (955 nucleotides) under uncultured bacterium. RNAcentral's name for it is "bacterial SSU rRNA". It matches the Rfam family "Bacterial small subunit ribosomal RNA", at positions 54 to 1008 of the family's 1533-position model. The record is from RNAcentral.